Molecule: long non-coding RNA, 342 nt
Filed under: Lathyrus oleraceus (garden pea)
Lineage: Eukaryota; Viridiplantae; Streptophyta; Magnoliopsida; Fabales; Fabaceae
Description: Pisum sativum (pea) long non-coding RNA (PSAT_LNC008071)
Source: RNAcentral
UUUAUUAGAUACCACCAUAGUUGUGUACAGAGUAUUCCUUUUCUACUAAAACCUUAGUUCAUGUUUUUUUCUUGAAUGUACGAAGUAUUGAAUACUGCAUUUUAGUAUGAUAUUUUAUGUUUUUUUAGGCCAUUGAAAAUUGUGUAUGGUGGUUCCAUUCAAACAUUACAAAAAUUAUAAAUUACACAUUUUACAAUUUAGAUUGAUCCUACUUAUUUCUCUUUAUUUAUUAUGUAUUUUUUGAAUCGUAGUUUAAGAUUUUUUCUUUCCUUCAAUUUAUACAUAAUUUUUGUCUUCUUCUACAAUUGAAUAAUAUAUACUAUUGGAUGUAUUUGAUUCAAA